Molecule: unclassified non-coding RNA, 514 nt
Filed under: Adansonia gregorii (boab)
Lineage: Eukaryota; Viridiplantae; Streptophyta; Magnoliopsida; Malvales; Malvaceae
Description: partial external transcribed spacer
Source: RNAcentral
CCCCGUACAGCGUUCCCUCCGCUCGCUGAUCGAGUUCUCUCGGGCGAGUUGUGGGCCGGUGUGCGAGGAUUCUGCCACCCUUACGCAAUGGGCAUGUGAGUGGUGCUUGGGACGUGCGUGUUGGCAGGCUCCGUGCUCUUACGCAUCGAACUGUCGACCCUCGCUCCUCUUAAGUCUUUGCCUCACGGUCUGCGUGACCGGGGGCGCAAUCGGGAUCCUGUGCUGCUUACCCGUAAUGACGGAACUCGGUUGUCGUGCCGUCCCUCUUCGGUCUCGCGCCCCUAAGGGCUGCGCAGAAGGACUUCAUUCAUGCCUCGCGUUCCAGGUGUGCCCCCGAAUUCGAUGCGGCCGCCUGCGUGCGCGGGUGCUUGAUCUUCGCUAGCGGAUUCGGAAAGCUUUGUGGGCUUGGGGCCAUGCCCCCUCUCGGUUGUUGCGAUUCGGUUUUGUCCCUGAACACGUACGACGCUCGUGCCCCGUCUUGGACUCUCCGCUGCACUCGCGGUGCGUUGAGGCC